UAAGGAGUCAGUUUGGGUCACUUUGUAGGAAUACAAUCGUCUAUGACAUCCCAAAGACGUUACCGGUGGUUCACUAUUGAUGGGCUCAAGUUGUACUACUUGAGAUGCCAGUACGCAAAACAAGGGCGCUCCAAAAAAAAAUAAUCGGAUAGCCUGUUGUCAUUGUUAUGGUCGAUGGUUCCCUCGGUCAGUAGACUCCUCUUACUGCAGGGCCUAUAGAAAGCACUAUCUAUUUAUAUGACUUUCUAUUUUGCUUAUGGCGUCUGCGCUCGAGGUUCUGACUGCAACCCCUCUGCUCACUCUAACUACUUCAGCGCGUUCAUAAAUGCUUUGCAUAAUUGGUUGCAUUGUAUAAUUCAGUCUAUGUACAAUUUCUGGUUCGUUUAGUUUUUAAGCACUUUCCAAGCGGAUAAAAUGGUAAAAUAUACGUGAUAGCAAAAAAGCUACCAAUAUAUUAAUUCAGGUUUCUAUACACAUUUUUAUAUGCAUGAGUAACAAAAACUAAAUAAAAUAAUGGAUUUUAAGGAACAAUUUCCAUGAUCAUUUUUAAAAUAACGUUCAUAUUGUUUAUGCUUUUAUUUAUUCAUCAGAGCUCGUAAAAAUGGGUCUCACUCGUGCUUUUUGUCAGAAAAAAUCCUGUCAUCAACUGGCCCUAUACGAAACCUAUACUUAAACCUCUCAAAUUCGGUCUCAUUUUGCUUUGCCUCCGACUCAACUGUCAACCAAUUUUUUUGACCUGUCGGGUCAUAGGUUUACUGACGAGCGUUUGCUCUAAAAAUUCUAGCAAGCAGUCGUAUGCAUGUAUGUUUCUAUGUACCGCUGACCAUAUCAAUUCCAUAUAAAUUGUUAGGCUUAAUUCAUAAAAUUUUAGUUUUAAUAAAAAAUAUGAGACUGAUA
Long non-coding RNA from Drosophila ananassae, 897 nucleotides. RefSeq lists it as uncharacterized. The transcript is spliced from 2 exons. The record is from RefSeq and is a predicted model, not a curated record. Lineage: Eukaryota; Metazoa; Arthropoda; Insecta; Diptera; Drosophilidae.